UGGGGAAUUUUGGACAAUGGGCGAAAGCCUGAUCCAGCAAUGCCGCGUGUGUGAAGAAGGCCUUCGGGUUGUAAAGCACUUUUGUCCGGAAAGAAAUCCUUGGCUCUAAUACAGUCGGGGGAUGACGGUACCGGAAGAAUAAGCACCGGCUAACUACGUGCCAGCAGCCGCGGUAAUACGUAGGGUGCAAGCGUUAAUCGGAAUUACUGGGCGUAAAGCGUGCGCAGGCGGUUUGCUAAGACCGAUGUGAAAUCCCCGGGCUCAACCUGGGAACUGCAUUGGUGACUGGCAGGCUAGAGUAUGGCAGAGGGGGGUAGAAUUCCACGUGUAGCAGUGAAAUGCGUAGAGAUGUGGAGGAAUACCGAUGGCGAAGGCAGCCCCCUGGGCAAUACUGACGCUCAUGCACGAAAGCGUGGGGAGCAAACAGGAUUAGAUACCCUGGUAGUCCACGCCCUAAAACGAUGUCAACUAGUUGUUGGGGAUUCAUUUCCUUAGUAACGUAGCUAACGCGUGAAGUUGACCGCCUGGGGAGUACGGUCGCAAGAUUAAAACUCAAAUGAAUUGACGGGGUCAUAGCUGUUUCCU
This 585-nucleotide ribosomal RNA is filed under the name uncultured bacterium. RNAcentral's name for it is "partial 16S ribosomal RNA". It matches the Rfam family "Bacterial small subunit ribosomal RNA", at positions 355 to 1375 of the family's 1533-position model. The record is from RNAcentral.